UCAAACCUUGGUCUUCAUGCUCAUUCUUAGCGAGACGACAUGAGGAAAACCAAAGUUAGUGACAAUUAUCACCUCAUUAGCAUGUCUAUUAUUUCAAUUUCUUCUGGUUUGAUCUUUGGGCUGAGAUUCCGUUUGACAAAAUUUUGUAGAGGAGAAAAGACAAAUGACAUGCAUGAAUUUGCCGAAAAACUAAUUUGGAGAGGAACUUGGAGUACUAUCAAUGACAUUAAAGGAAGAUUGAAGGGGCUUGGAGAGAUUUAAGCAGCAAAAAAGAGCUUAAAAAGCAUUGAAUUUAGCCCAAGAAAUAACCACACAGGUGUGACAAGUCCCCACAACAGUAUGGGUGUUGCUAAUGUUAAUUGUUAUUCGUGAGUUAUUAGUGUAUUGAACAAUUGUAAGAAAAUAGCCUAUUCACGAGUUAUUAGUGUAUCUUAUCGUUUUAUA
Long non-coding RNA from Glycine soja, 444 nucleotides. RefSeq lists it as uncharacterized. The transcript has 2 exons. NCBI's taxonomy places the organism in Eukaryota, Viridiplantae, Streptophyta, Magnoliopsida, Fabales, Fabaceae. The record is from RefSeq and is a predicted model, not a curated record.